This is a small nucleolar RNA of Megalops cyprinoides (Indo-Pacific tarpon), 84 nucleotides long. RefSeq annotates it as small nucleolar RNA SNORD35. NCBI's taxonomy places the organism in Eukaryota, Metazoa, Chordata, Actinopteri, Elopiformes, Megalopidae. The transcript has a single exon. The record is from RefSeq and is a predicted model, not a curated record.
UGCAGAUGAUGUUUAUCUCACGAUGGUCUUCCAAGCCUCCGUGGUUUUGACGACACUGCCUCAGGGCAACACUGAUGCAGACCG